RNAcentral lists this small RNA (628 nucleotides) under Drosophila virilis. RNAcentral describes it as "GJ26476". The record is from RNAcentral. Lineage: Eukaryota; Metazoa; Arthropoda; Insecta; Diptera; Drosophilidae.
AAAAAAAAACAAGAAAUAACUAAAAAAUGAAAUGCAAAUUGUUCAAGACAAACUAUAUUUAACAUAAUUGGAACUGCAUUUGCAGCUAACUUGCUGCAGAUGUGCGGAGACGUGUCGUUGGGCAGCUAUUCGGUCAGCAGCUUUCAACAUUGUGGUCAAAGGUCGUGAAGGUUGGGCGGGACAGGCGAGCAGUAGUUGCGGCACAACGUUGCCGCUGACCUCGCCCGCAUCAUCAACAGCUGUUAAAGCGUGGCCAGGGGCCAGCUCCUGGCAUCAGGCGAUCGAUGAUCGCAUCGCGGAACAGCAGCUGCAAUCCCAGUGUGCGCACUCUGCAGAUCCAUCUGUGCACUGAGAGAAACGCAUGCUUGCACCUCAAAAUGCUGCAGUUGUUGCGACUUGUGCUCGGCCAGCUAUGUUCUUGUCGAUACGCACGCUCCGGGAGCUCGUGAACAGGAACCUUCGCGAUAUAUUGAAUCCUCAGCUUCAAGAUGCGACAGCGCUUUACACUAUUUCGGCCAGUAAAUGGCAUCAGCAGCAAUUGAGCAAUGCUAGAGCCCAGUAACUUGCACGGGGUGCAAGCGCCUUGUUUAUCUCCAAGUAAAUGGCCACACGAGACUACAAACGACUG